GUGAGUCAUCGAAUCUUUGAACGCAAAUUGCGCUCCUUGGUAUUCCGAGGAGCAUGCCUGUUUGAGUGUCAUGAAAUCAUCCACCUUACCUUUGGGCUUUUGUCCUCGGGUCUGGCUGGGACUUGGGUGCUUGCGUGUUGAAUAGACACGCUCACCUUAAACACAUGCUACUUGAUCAAUCCUGAAAGGACGGUUUGACUCGGCGUUAUAAGUUAUUUCGCUGAGGACACUCGCAAGGGUGGCCGACCAUGAAGUUUUGAUCGUUGCCCCACAGUGUCGCCACACGUAGACAGGGGCUACAAUUCAUUUGACAUCUGGCCUCAAAUCAGGUAGGACUACCCGCUGAACUUAAGCAUAUCAAUAAGCGGAGG
Molecule: ribosomal RNA, 371 nt
Filed under: uncultured fungus
Lineage: Eukaryota; Fungi
Description: eukaryotic LSU rRNA
Rfam family: 5.8S ribosomal RNA (bases 1-71)
Source: RNAcentral